RNAcentral lists this long non-coding RNA (697 nucleotides) under Triticum aestivum (bread wheat). Its description in RNAcentral is "long non-coding RNA (TAES_LNC003904)". Lineage: Eukaryota; Viridiplantae; Streptophyta; Magnoliopsida; Poales; Poaceae. The record is from RNAcentral.
UGAAUUCAUGGCUGAUAGAGUCAAUUGGUACUGAGAUCCUCAAAUUUACACAUAACAUAAACUCUUUUUUCUGAUCGAACAUGUACCCUUUCUGUAAUGCAUACUAUUAUUCAUGUGAAUACACAUCCAAGUUAAUGAUAGCACUGACUUUGUUUUUCCCUCCUGCUUACUGAAGCUAAGGCUGAGCUGCAGCUUACUGAACCUGAUGAAAACGAAGCCACUCCGGGACAGCUGCAGUGUUGUGCCUAUUUGAGAUUCAUGGGGUUAAGGACGAUCUGUGAGGAGGAAAAGACUCUGAGCAAUGAGUAGCAGCUAGCAACACUCAACUGUAGCAGAACCAUUUGUAGCUUCGGUGUAAAACGAGUAAAUAGCAUAAAGCUACUACUUUACGGGUUAGGGUUCCAAAAAACUACCAAAUUUAUUUUUUUCGCUGAUAACUACCAACUCAGGAGUUGGCUGUUUCAAAAAACCCCAAAUUCUCUUUGUUAAAAAAUUAAACAUGUUUAUGACAGGUCGAGCCCGCCACUAAACGCAUCAUUUGGUUGACCGUUUGUUUGACCGUUAACUGACAUGUGGGGGCCACAUGCCAGUGUCUGAAAAAGCAAUCGGGUCCCUGAAAAUUUUCUAAAAAAGCAAUCAGGUCCCUGGAAGUUUUCAAAAAAAGCAAUCAGGUCCUCCGGCGCACCUGCCAUGGCCG